Long non-coding RNA from Canis lupus familiaris (dog), 673 nucleotides. RefSeq lists it as uncharacterized. The record is from RefSeq and is a predicted model, not a curated record. The transcript has 4 exons. NCBI's taxonomy places the organism in Eukaryota, Metazoa, Chordata, Mammalia, Carnivora, Canidae.
UAAUGCCAAACACAUGUCAUGUUAAUAAAUGGGUUAAAUUAACGUCUAUUAAAAACAGACGCUCAGAUUAUAUCUCAAAGCAAAACCCAAUUUUCUGUUGUAUGACAGGGACGCACCUACAAGAGGAGGAAAGGCUAAGCAAAGGGCUAUGAAGCAAGAGCGAAGAGAUCAAUCAGGGCCUGUAAUCUUCACAUCAGACAAGGCUGAGCUCAGAGCGGCAAGGACCGAAUGGGACAAAGGAGGACCCUAUGCAGAAACUACGGUGGCCACAGGGAAAAUUGAGGACACAUCAGGUGUUGGACCUGUUAAUUCACCCCCUUCACUCACGACAGAAAAAAGGCCAGAAGAAAAAAAGACAUAAAGGAGCUACGUGAUACAUCAAUAAGUGCUCAGAACCACCGGGGAUCCUCCCACCACAUGUGGCCUGGAGAUGGUGUACGCCAAGAGUGGGCUGCUCCUUCACUUACUGACAAAGAGAAUCAAACGCUCAACAAAAUCACAAGGAUAUUCUGGAAAAAGGCAACCAGAGGGACUGAAAGUGGAUCAGAACUUGCCUGGAGGGCAGCGCGGGUGGCUCAGCAGUUUGGCGCCGCCUUCAGCCCAGGAUGUGAUCCUGGAGUCCCACGCCAGGCUCCCUGCAUGGAGCCUGCUUCUCUCUCUGCCUGUGUCUCUC